GUGGGGAAUAUUGGGCAAUGGGCGAAAGCCUGACCCAGCAACGCCGCGUGAAGGAAGAAGGUCUUCGGAUUGUAAACUUCUUUUAUGAGGGACGAAGAAAUUGACGGUACCUCAUGAAUAAGCCACGGCUAACUACGUGCCAGCAGCCGCGGUAAUACGUAGGUGGCAAGCGUUAUCCGGAUUUACUGGGUGUAAAGGGCGCGUAGGCGGGAGAGCAAGUCAGGUGUGAAAUCCAUGGGCCUAACCCAUGAACUGCACUUGAAACUGUUUUUCUUGAGUGCUGGAGAGGUAGACGGAAUUCCUUGUGUAGCGGUGAAAUGCGUAGAUAUAAGGAAGAACACCAGUGGCGAAGGCGGUCUACUGGACAGUAACUGACGCUGAGGCGCGAAAGCGUGGGGAGCAAACAGGAUUAGAAACCCGAGUAGUCC
RNAcentral lists this ribosomal RNA (428 nucleotides) under uncultured bacterium. RNAcentral describes it as "bacterial SSU rRNA". It matches the Rfam family "Bacterial small subunit ribosomal RNA", at positions 354 to 796 of the family's 1533-position model. The record is from RNAcentral.